This 1035-nucleotide long non-coding RNA is filed under the name Marmota monax (woodchuck). The record is from RNAcentral. Lineage: Eukaryota; Metazoa; Chordata; Mammalia; Rodentia; Sciuridae.
UAAAAUCUUGCCACAGCCAAGAAAAGUGCAAGGUUUGGGGAAAGCAAAUCAGCCCUGGCAAGUGGUGGUUUGGUGGGCGGCAGCCAAGUGGCUUCGUCCUCGGCACACCCGUCUUUAGCCGUGUUCCCACCUGCAAGCAGGUGGCCUGUGCUGUCUUACCCCACCAUCCGGCACUCCUCCUCCCGCAGGUUGACAGACAGUGGCUGGAGAGGCCCUCUGUACAGGUGACAGCUACAUAUCAGGGCAGGUGGGAAGGCCAAUUGGGUUGUUGGGACCGGGCGGUGUUUUCAUUUUGGUGGGCUUGGUGGGGCCUCUGGGGUGACUGGUUUCUGUUCUUGUUUGCCUGUGGGUGUUGCCUGCUUGGGCCCAGCAAUGGGAUGCCAAGCCUCUUCAGGGAGCACAGAAGGCGCAGGGGCCUUUUGGAGCUGCAGCCGUGACGCAAGUGAGCCAGCUGCUGGAGGAUGUCCACAACCACCACGGCCGCCCCUGCGGGGAUCCCGGCGGCUCCGGGCCCUGUGAACCCACCCCCGCCCGAGGUCUCCAACCCCAGCAAGCCCGGCCGCAAGACCAACCAGCUGCAGUACAUGCAGAAGUGGUGGUGAAGACGCUCUGGAAGCAUCAGUUUGCCUGGCCCUUCUACCAGCCCGUGGACGCAAUCCAGCUCUAUCUUUUUGUGGGUGGCUCUUUGCCUGCCGGCCGUCUGUUCCUCCUGGGUUGGGAGCUUUGGCCUUGUGUCUUGGCCAGGUGAUGCUGGAGAUGUGGCAGGUGCUGUUAAGCCGAGGACAACCUGUGCCUCCAGUAGCCCACAGCCCCAGGGUAAUGGCCUGUGACCCCCAGUAGGAAGGAGCAGCAGGGCUACGGGCUUAUGGGAGAGUGGGCGGUCAGUCUUGGGUGCAGGAGUUGGGGAGCAGGCAGGAGGUGCCGACAUUGUUGGGGCUCAGGAGCAGAUCUGUGCAACUGAGGCCUGACCUGGGGCCGUGUGCAUGUCCGCCUGUCACACCCACUUGUCUUCCGAUGUCAGCUGCACACCAAGAC